This 460-nucleotide ribosomal RNA is filed under the name uncultured bacterium. Its description in RNAcentral is "partial 16S ribosomal RNA". It matches the Rfam family "Bacterial small subunit ribosomal RNA", at positions 338 to 795 of the family's 1533-position model. The record is from RNAcentral.
CCUACGGGAGGCAGCAGUGAGGAAUAUUGGUCAAUGGGCGAGAGCCUGAACCAGCCAAGUCGCGUGAAGGAUGAAGGAUCUAUGGUUUGUAAACUUCUUUUAUAUGGGAAUAAAGUGAGGAACGUGUUCCUUUUUGUAUGUACCAUAUGAAUAAGCAUCGGCUAACUCCGUGCCAGCAGCCGCGUUAAUACGGAGGAUGCGAGCGUUAGCCGGAUUUAUUGGGUUUAAAGGGUGCGUAGGUGGUUAAUUAAGUCAGCGGUGAAAGUAUGUGGCUCAACCAUAAAAUUGCAGUUGAAACUGGUUGACUAGAGUAUAUUUGAGGUAGGCGGAAUGCGUGGUGUAGCAGUGAAAUGCAUAGAUAUCACGCAGAACUCCGAUUGCGAAGGCAGCUUACUAAGCUAUAACUGACACUGAAGCACGAAAGCGUGGGGAUCAAACAGGAUUAGAUACCCCUGUAGUC